This 923-nucleotide long non-coding RNA is filed under the name Anser brachyrhynchus (Pink-footed goose). Its description in RNAcentral is "lncRNA (ENSABRG00000009732.1)". The record is from RNAcentral. Lineage: Eukaryota; Metazoa; Chordata; Aves; Anseriformes; Anatidae.
GCUUGUUGCUGUGUUUUAGGAGCAUUAGGGAAAAUACAGAUAGUCUGGCAUUUUAUUACUCAUAUUUCUCUGCUCUUAAUGACUGAAUGGAGCACGACUUGCUAAUGAACUAGGCAGAAAUGAAUGCAUUUGUGGCACUAAUUGAAAUAAACCCAAGGUCUGGCUUUUCAAAAGGAGCAAAACCUCUAGCACUCUCAAAAAAAAAAAAAAAAAAAAAAAAAAANNNNNNNNNNCCUCUUUUCUGCCUUUAACCCCUGCCUGCUGUCUUUCACUACAGCUGCGUUCUGGUGUAACAGAGCAAGGCACCCUCUGCUUGCAGGAACCAGGGAUUCGUGGUGCAGGAUGCUGGGGAAAGGGCUUGGUGUUGCUCCCUUCCUCGUCUAUAAAAGCAGCUCAUUAGGGGCAGUAGGGUUCCCAGGUAGCAGAGGGUGAUGUGGAGAUGGCUUGGGAGCACGUGGAUGGAGGACGGGCGAGACACUGCAUUACACAAGUGUGGCACAAGGAAGCUGCAUCUCUGCUGACCGAUGUGGAAGAGGCUCACCAGGCACACGCGUGGCUGGAGGAGAGUUACUCUGGCUUUACACCACACCAAGCGAGGACGGACUGCAGCAUUCAGGAUGCAGACAGAGGAGCAGUCCUCCAUGGAUCGGUGAGAUUUUCAGACAGAUCAAAUGUUGAGCUUCAGGUAAUUGGCAGAGAUCCUUUAAUGUCUGAGUUUAACACUCACCUACUAGAAGAGAACACAAUUAGGCAAUGAGAUGUGGAAGAGUCUGAAGUGCCAGGUAUAAUAAUUCAGCUGUAGUAGGCUGUUCAGCAGAAAGCUGAAGGCUGAGAGCUGUCAAUUACACCAGGGGUGAAUUAAUACAACCAAAUUCAUGCACUGAAGCAUCUUAUUAUUGCUAUGAUCACAUUUUAUUAUGAAG